UACGGGGGGAGCAAGCGUUGUUCGGAUUUACUGGGCGUAAAGGGCGCGUAGGCGGCGUGACAAGUCACUUGUGAAAUCUCCGGGCUUAACUCGGAACGGUCAAGUGAUACUGUCGUGCUAGAGUACAGAAGGGGCAACUGGAAUUCUCGGUGUAGAGGUGAAAUUCGUAGAUAUCAGGAGGAACACCAGUGGCGAAGGCGGCUUCCUGGACACCAACUGACGCUGAGACGCGAAAGCGUGGGGAGCAAACAGG
RNAcentral lists this ribosomal RNA (253 nucleotides) under uncultured bacterium. RNAcentral's name for it is "partial 16S ribosomal RNA". It matches the Rfam family "Bacterial small subunit ribosomal RNA", at positions 524 to 776 of the family's 1533-position model. The record is from RNAcentral.